GAUGAAGAACGUAGCGAAAUGCGAUAAGUAAUGCGAAUUGCAGAAUUUCCGUGAAUCAUCGAAUCUUUGAACGCACAUUGCGCCCCCCGGCAUUCCGGGGAGCAUGCCUGUUCGAGCGUCUCUUGGAAUACCCCUCACGCCGGCGGAGGCGUGGUCAUGGCGGCGGUGGCGUGCCCCGAGAGGGAGGCCACCGCGCUGGAAUCCAUGGGCGGACGCCUGCCGCGUGGCCGAGCGUGAUAAGACGCACUGGCGCUCGCGCGCGGCGAGGCUGCCGGCCCUGGCCCGCUCGUCGGGCGGGGACAGCAACACUUGGGAACUCCUCGAAUCAGGUAGGGAUACCCGCUGAACUUAAGCAUAUCAAUAAGCGGAGGA
RNAcentral lists this unclassified non-coding RNA (372 nucleotides) under soil metagenome. RNAcentral's name for it is "partial contains 5.8S ribosomal RNA, internal transcribed spacer 2, and large subunit ribosomal RNA". The stretch from base 1 to 121 matches the Rfam family "5.8S ribosomal RNA", at positions 35 to 154 of the family's 154-position model. The record is from RNAcentral.